CCUACGGGAGGCAGCAGUGAGGAAUAUUGGUCAAUGGACGAGAGUCUGAACCAGCCAAGUAGCGUGAAGGAUGACUGCCCUAUGGGUUGUAAACUUCUUUUAUAUGGGAGUAAAAUGUUCCACGUGUGGGAGUUUGUAUGUACCAUGUGAAUAAGGAUCGGCUAACUCCGUGCCAGCAGCCGGGGGAAUUCGGGGGAUCCGGGCGUUAAUCGGGUUUUUUGGGUUUAAAGGGAGCGUAGGUGGUGUGGUAAGUCAGUCGUGAAAGUUUGCGGCUCAACCGUAAAAUUGCAGUUGAAACUGGCAGUCUUGAGUACACGAGAGGUAGGCGGAAUGCGUGGUGUAGCGGUGAAAUGCUUAGAUAUCACGAAGAACUCCGAUUGCGAAGGCAGUUCACUGGACUGCAACUGACACUGAGGCUCGAAAGUGUGGGUAUCAAACAGGAUUAGAUACCCCUGUAGUC
Molecule: ribosomal RNA, 460 nt
Filed under: uncultured bacterium
Lineage: Bacteria
Description: partial 16S ribosomal RNA
Rfam family: Bacterial small subunit ribosomal RNA
Source: RNAcentral